This is a long non-coding RNA of Phasianus colchicus (ring-necked pheasant), 1086 nucleotides long. The record is from Ensembl. Lineage: Eukaryota; Metazoa; Chordata; Aves; Galliformes; Phasianidae.
GGUCAUUAUGGAAUUAUAGUUCCCUUGCUUAAUGAUUUUACAAAAUUGCUUGGCAAUCCAACAAAGAGAAGGAGCACAAUGUGGUGAAUGCAGGCUAAUUAAACCAAUAAUUGCUUCCUGUUGUGCUCCCAGAUAAUGUGCCCCUGAUAAUUUUAAAUGAAGUCUUGAAGCUGACUUCUUGAAUGAAAUGCUGUGCUAGUUAAAGCUUCACUAACUUUCUGUGUGCUUAGAAACUGGCCUACUUCUCAAGGUCCCUUGCAUUUCUCAGACAAAUAUUGCUAUGGUAUGUGAAGAAUACAAGAAUAACUUUCCUGUAUCUCAGGUAACAGGGCUCUGAAUUUCUGUGUUUUCCCUCUUUGCAGUAGUGUAACUAGAUGGUCUGAUGUCCCCAAACAAUUCUGAAAUUAGAAGCUGUAAAUUAAGCCUUUGGUGUUCAAAGUUCUAUUUCCUUUCUGUUUUAAGACUUAGGAGAAGAUGCAAACUUCUAUGUACCUCAGGAAUGCUAGCUUGAAUCUAGAGUAACUCCAUUGGGAUUUACCACAGCUUUUUGAGUUAUAUCUGUGUCAAAUGCAAAGUAUGUGACUGUUGACUGGCAGCUAUGUUUAGAACUUGGGAAAUAAUUCAUGAAGUCCCCAAGAAUUUCAAGGUGAUCUUCAAAGUGAUCUGAAGAAUAAUUUGGAAACUUUUAAUAUGGAAUUUGGAGGAAGAGUCUUUAGCAGUUAAUCAGGUAUUUUAAGUAGGCAAAGGUAGGAGAAGAAAGGGAGAAGAGGAAAGAAGAUGUUGUGAAGCGACAGAAGAUGGUAUGACAUAAGAGGAUGAACAGAUGUCUUCAAGAUUUACCAGUCAGUUUUGGAAAGGGUUGCUGAUAACUAUCUGGGGACAGAGGUCCAAAUACACAGCAAUGGCCUUCUCCCAUCAGACUCAAAUUGUUUUCUGCGCUACAGAACAAGAAAAGCUCAUUUUGCUUUUGUGUGUGAAUGUCUGCAGUUAGGUAUUGAAGGCAUGAGUCCAUCCUUGAGACUGUGGAGCAUUUAUAGAUAGAGACCCUAUAAUAAAGAUAACAGGAAGUCAAGUAGGUUCUUUCUU